RNAcentral lists this ribosomal RNA (497 nucleotides) under uncultured bacterium. RNAcentral describes it as "partial 16S ribosomal RNA". It matches the Rfam family "Bacterial small subunit ribosomal RNA", at positions 28 to 507 of the family's 1533-position model. The record is from RNAcentral.
GAUGAACGCUGGCGGCGUGCCUAAUACAUGCAAGUCGAGCGAACAGACGAGGAGCUUGCUCCUCUGACGUUAGCGGCGGACGGGUGAGUAACACGUGGAUAACCUACCUAUAAGACUGGGAUAACUUCGGGAAACCGGAGCUAAUACCGGAUAAUAUAUUGAACCGCAUGGUUCAAUAGUGAAAGUCGGUUUUGCUGUCACUUAUAGCUGGAUCCGCGCCGCAUUAGCUAGUUGGUAAGGUAACGGCUUACCAAGGCUACGAUGCGUAGCCGACCUGAGAGGGUGAUCGGCCACCUGGGAUCUGAGAAAGGGUACAGACUCCUAGGGGAGGAAGCAGUACGGAAUCUUCCGCGAUGGGGGAAAGCCUGACGGAGCAACGCGGCGUGAGUGCUGAAGGUCUGCGGAUCGGAAAACGCUGUUAUUAGGGAAGAACAAAUGUGUAAGUAACUAUGCACGUCUUGACGGUACCUGAUCAAAAAGCCACGGCUAACUACGUG